ACCAGAUGUCCCCUCUUGGCUGCAUGGCUGGGGGAGGAAAUGGAUUCCGCUUCGGGAGGGUCUCGCGGCCUAUCAGCUUGUUGGUGAGGUAAUGGCUCACCAAGGCGUCGACGGGUAGCUAGUCUGAGAGGACGGAUAGCCACACUGGGACUGAGACACGGCCCAGACUCCUACGGGAGGCAGCAGUGGGGAAUCUUGCGCAAUGGGCGGAAGCCUGACGCAGCAACGCCGCGUGGGGGAUGAAGGCUUUCGGGUUGUAAACCCCUUUCAGCAGGGACGAUUCUGACGGUACCUGCAGAAGAAGGACCGGCCAACUACGUGCCAGCAGCCGCGGUAAUACGUAGGGUCCGAGCGUUGUCCGGAUUUAUUGGGCGUAAAGAGCUCGUAGGUGGCUCCGUAAGUCGGGUGUGAAAACCCCAGGCUCAACCUGGGGACGCCACUUGAUACUGCGGUGGCUUGAGUCUGGUAGGGGAUCUCGGAAUUCCUGGUGUAGCGGUGAAAUGCGCAGAUAUCAGGAGGAACACCAGUGGCGAAGGCGGAGAUCUGGGCCAGUACUGACACUGAGGAGCGAAAGCGUGGGGAGCGAACAGGAUUAGAUACCCUGGUAGUCCACGCCGUAAACGUUGGGCACUAGGUGUGGGGACCUAUCGACGGUCUCCGUGCCGUAGCGAACGCAUUAAGUGCCCCGC
RNAcentral lists this ribosomal RNA (689 nucleotides) under uncultured bacterium. Its description in RNAcentral is "bacterial SSU rRNA". It matches the Rfam family "Bacterial small subunit ribosomal RNA", at positions 168 to 872 of the family's 1533-position model. The record is from RNAcentral.